GGCCACGGGAGAGGAGGCGUCAUAUUCGAAAAUGGCGGAAGGCGGCGAUGCGGCUCUUUUCAAGUGGACUGAUGAACACACUCAGCUCCUUAUUCAGUGGAGAGUGGCUAAUGAAGCCCUCUUCACUGGAAAGCGUAAUGCUGCCAUCAAAGGUUUUGAAGCUUUUGUGACAGAGCAGGGACUUGAGGGCAAAAUUUCUGCCGCUCAAGUCAAAAGAAAGUGGGAGAACCUAAAACUAAAAUAUAAAGUAAGAUUUUUUUUUUUUAAU
This 268-nucleotide long non-coding RNA is filed under the name Sinocyclocheilus anshuiensis. RNAcentral's name for it is "lncRNA (ENSSANG00000001693.1)". The record is from RNAcentral. Lineage: Eukaryota; Metazoa; Chordata; Actinopteri; Cypriniformes; Cyprinidae.